This is an RNA transcript of Photinus pyralis (common eastern firefly), 1478 nucleotides long. It is a transcript of the gene named muscle, skeletal receptor tyrosine protein kinase-like, with no coding region annotated. The record is from RefSeq and is a predicted model, not a curated record. The transcript has 6 exons. Lineage: Eukaryota; Metazoa; Arthropoda; Insecta; Coleoptera; Lampyridae.
ACUCGCUUUCCACAAACUUUUAAUAAUCCAGUAGUGGGGGCGUAACUUUUCAGGGUUGCUUUAGCCGGCUUCAGCUUUUGAAACAGAAACAGUAUGUUCCGUGCUUGCUCUGCAAAAGCUCGGUGUACGGAUAGAAUACGCCGCGUUUGCCGCUUUUCUGAUCGUAAAUGCGUGCGCCAUGACCGCUCAAUUAAAAAAUUCGAGUGAUUACUGGAUUUUCAAAUUGUGUUUUAGUGCGUCCUGUUAAGAAUAUGGGGAAAAAAAGGCGCGCAUCUAAACGACGUGCUGUUGCCAUCGAUAAAGAUCACUCCCAACUGACAAAUAUGGAACAAGAUGAUGUUUUUGAGGAAGAUUUGGAAAACAAAAUUGAAAGUGGACAUAGAAGACCGAAGCCCGGUCAAUGUCAAAAGGGUAUUUGCGGUAAAGAAGCGGCUUGUUUGUCUCAUUCCAACAACACAUAUUCUUGCAUUUGUCCGCACGACAAGUCACCACCUACGAAAGACUGGAGAUGCACUCGUAUUACAGUUCCACCCACACCCCACCCAAUCAAGAAUAUACGAUUAUCAUCAGAUGCAAAUUCUACAAUAUCUAAAAGUAAAAACGCUACUAGUCGCGUUAAUAAUCGCAUCACCAGCACCUCGGCGCACUCAAAAGAACCGUUAGCCAACGCACCUGGAACGUUUCCGAGUACAAUAGUAAUUUCAGUUUUGGUCGGAGUCAUUGUGAUAGUUAUGAUCGCCAUUAUUUUUACUGUUAUCUCAUGGAGGCGAAGGAAACAAGGAUGCUUAUGCUAUAACAAAAAUCCAUGCACGAAAUCACUGCGGGUGUUAAUAAUGGCGCUGUUUGUUACUGAAUACUGUAACAUAUCGGCGCCGUUAUGAGGCAUGCCAUCGGAAAAGAUUCCCCGCCCAGGUGAUUGUUAACGUCAUAAUAUUAUUAUGGAACAGCAGAAUUCUAUUCUAAUCAACAACCGAUCAGCAAUAAAAACUGAACCGUGAUCUUCGCCAAGACAAUUUCAGUUACACUAACGGAACGCGGUAUUAAAACGUUGUUUGUAAUUUUAUUGUCACUUGUGUUGCGAAAUAAAUUGCACCACAUAUUGCUGCAAGAGAGCCAGUGUCAUCUCCAAUCGUGCUAAAACGAAGCUUUCUUGUACCAGAAAGAUAUGCUCCCAAUCCACAGUAUUCUGCUUGUUCCAGUAGUUCAGUGCCAAUAAUACAAAGGGAAUCGCUCAAAUUUUUAAACGAAUUAGGCGAAGGAUGCUUUGGAAAAGUAUUUAAAGGUAAGAUACUUCAUUUUUUUGCAUAGUUAUCAAAUUACCGGACUUUUUUUAAUGAAAAAUCGUAUGGAAAACCGAUUUCACGAUUUAUACUAUGCGUUUCCAUGACGUUUAGUCCUAUCUGAACAGUCGCAUCAAUUGUUGAGUGACAGUAAAUCGCGUAUGUCAAUGAUAUUGAAUUAUGACGGGUUAUUAAGGA